CCGGUGAUUGGCGGAGGCCUGCGGGGGGCGGGGCGGUGGGUGUGGCUAACGGCGAGGGAAAGGCGUUGGCAGUUAUUUUUCCGAUGGCGGCGUCCCAGCCGGUUGUUUCUGUGCGGUCCUCUAAGCUGACUUCCCCGUGACAAAGCGGUUGUUGGGGACGGCCCGGGAAGCUCAGAACUGCCUUGAGGAUGCAGGAAACCCCUUGAGGCCGGGAUGUGGAGCGCCUGGGCACCCUUGACUUACCCCGCGUGGGUUUCCGAGCUUUGGGUUGGCGCGCCCCGGGCCGCUCCGAAGCCGCUUGUGAGCUCUUCCCCGCUUGCCGGGGCCUCAGCCCUGCGCUUCUCCGCUCUGUUCUCCUUCACCUCUGACUUGUCUCUAUCAUGGAAGAAGGAUUCCAUCCUCCCAUCCCAGGGAGGACAGUCUCCCGCGCGGUCAAGAAAAAGCCCAGGACUCCAAGGACAAAAAUGGUCCCUGCCCGUGAUCAUCAGGCAAGCUAUAACAAAGCGUGGAGGCCGUCUGUCUGUCCACACUGCCUUUUUCUAGGAGCUGGGAAGACACCCUUCAGAAGGACUGGUCCCAUGGGACCUUGCCCGGGCUUCCCAGCCUUGCCUGAGCUUUAGCUAUCUGGAAAAGGAUCUGCUCGUAGGACCUGGGACUCCCGGGUCCCUGCACCACACCCUAGAAUAUCCUAUACUCUAUCUUAGGGAGGAGAUUCGAGCUUCAGG
Microcebus murinus (gray mouse lemur) is the source of this 725-nucleotide non-coding RNA. The record is from RefSeq and is a predicted model, not a curated record. NCBI's taxonomy places the organism in Eukaryota, Metazoa, Chordata, Mammalia, Primates, Cheirogaleidae.